CUUGACCUCGGAUCAGGUAGGGAUACCCGCUGAACUUAAG
RNAcentral lists this ribosomal RNA (40 nucleotides) under cf. Camarosporium sp. 2 PWC-2017. RNAcentral's name for it is "partial 28S ribosomal RNA". The record is from RNAcentral. Lineage: Eukaryota; Fungi; Ascomycota; Dothideomycetes; Pleosporales.